Molecule: long non-coding RNA, 493 nt
Organism: Aquila chrysaetos chrysaetos
Lineage: Eukaryota; Metazoa; Chordata; Aves; Accipitriformes; Accipitridae
Exons: 2
Source: RefSeq, a predicted model, not a curated record
AUAGCACCAGGCUAGCUGGCAGUAGGUUUAGGAGGUGGUGUAACUCAUAGCUAUCAUCCAGGCCACCUCCAGCUGCAGCCAGCAUGGAGGUAGACACCGCAUUCCCUGCACUACCUCCCUCGUGCACUGCCAAACCGGUGGGACACCGGCUCCGACCACCUCCAUCUGGAGCAUCUUUUGUGGGCGGUAAAGCUGGGACGGUGACACGAUGCUGCUUUUCCAUGUAGGGAAGUGCUGGGUUAGCGGCCGCUGCUGAGGUGCAAGAAGAAGACGUCUAAGAAAGACUAAUGCCAUUAGGUGAGCAGCCAUGAGACGGAGCCUCGCCGACAGGAAUAGCAGCAAGCCAGCUUUAUCUAGGCUGAAAGACAACAGUCAGUACAUCAGAGUCCGUUUAAAUCUUCCAGAGCAGCUUGACCACGGAUGGCUUUCUUCCAGGCACCCACAGAGAUGACGAAGCUCCAAAAACAAAUCAAAGAGAAAAAACAAAACAAAA